RNAcentral lists this long non-coding RNA (8258 nucleotides) under Citrus maxima (pomelo). Its description in RNAcentral is "long non-coding RNA (CMAX_LNC001687)". The record is from RNAcentral. Lineage: Eukaryota; Viridiplantae; Streptophyta; Magnoliopsida; Sapindales; Rutaceae.
GUGUGUGUGUGUGUUACAAUUUCUGCACCCAAAACAAAUCUAAAGCUAAAAUAAAAAACGAAAUCAACUCGCCAACCAAAUCACCGUGAGACAGCUUCACCUCGCCAGCCAAAUCACCGUGAGACAGCUUCACCUCGCCAGCCACCGCGCAAUCGAAAAAGCUUUGCUCGCCAGCCACCGCGCGACAGCUUCUGAUCUGCUCACCAGCCACCACGCGACGGCUUCUGGUCUGCUCGCCAACCACUGCACAUCAUUUUCUGCUCUGCUCGCGCAGCCAGCCACCGUGCACCAGUAGGAGUAAUGUUGAUGCGAGAUUCCGGUUCUCCUCGUUCCACGACCAGGAUCUCUGCUCGAUCAACUUCACCACGACCAGGAGGUCUCCUAGUAAUGCUUCUUCUCCGGAUGUCCCUGCACAAACAGACAAGUCAGAGUACGCCGGUUGUUCCCCCGGCGCAAACCCUCCGACGCUCAAGUCAGAUAUGAAGGUUCAGGGAACGCUUGCCACAGGUCUUAUGGCUUUUUCGUGGUUUUUUUCUUCUAUCUCAAAAAUGCCAACCCUUUUACCUUCGUUGGCUACCUUUUUAUAGGCUUCCUCUGAAUCUCAGUCUUCCGCCCUUUUCCAGACGGUAUGGGACUCCAACUGCUGCGUUAUGGGCAAACGUGGGAUCUAGCGUGUUACGCCACGGUUCAGGGGAAAGCGUGGCUGUCAUGGCUCUGUGAGACUUUGCGUGUUACGCCACGGUUCUGGGGAAAGCGUGGCUGUUGUGCCUAGAUUCUCGUGCUGGAGAGCACGUCUUGCCAACUGCCGUCGACCGGGUCUCCUCGCCUCUUGACCUCUAGCCGUAAUGGCCUUAUGCCUUUUAUAGGGAAUUGGCCUCGCGGAUGACAACAUCGUGGACGAGCAGGAUAUUUCUGCUCCUGUUCUUCCGCGCACCAGGCUUUUACGGAACACACCGGUUCGCAGAACUCUGCCAUCAGAUAUCUGCUCGUCAUUCCUGGUCUCGUCGACGUAUUUAUCCCAAACAGUGAGCCGAGCAGCAUCGGUCGGCUGGACCUCCUCGGGUGCAGGGGGGGUAUCACCAGUUGCGUCCGGGGGGGUGCUCGCCUCGCCAACAUCAGCAGGGACUGCACGAGGAGGAGAGUUUUCCUCCUCGAUCACGAUCGGCUCUACCCCCUCGGUAUCUUCCUUGGCCGCCUCCUCAUCCAUAUGCUGAGCAACACCAGCUGCAAGGUCAUCCAUCUUCAGGUCAGGGUGUUGCUUCCCGAGGACGGCCAUGAUGCAACGAUAGGAAUGCCGAAGUCCCUGGUCGUACUGGUUGUCGGCCUCCCUCUCCAAGUUCUCGACCUGAGCUCGGUGGUUCUCGAUCUGAGCUCGGUGGGAGUCGCGGAGAGAUUCGAGCUGAGCCUCAUACAUAGCCUUCUGCCUUUGCAGAUCCUCCUUGACCUUGGUAAGCUCCUCCUCAAGGGUAAUGGCUUUUGCUUGAGCAAGUGAUUCUUGCUCUAUCAGCUUCAGGUUCUCGAGAUUCAGCUCCCCUGCUUUCUUCUCGGCAGCGUCAGCUCUGGUCGUCGCCGACUGAAUGUCCCCCUUCAUCUUCCGGUCGUAGCGGCCCACCUUAGCCUUGUAAUAGGUGGUCAUGCAGCUGAGGUGGAAGGCGCUAUGCUGAAUGGCCCCCACCAGCUCACCCAAGGUGCGGCCAUCAAAGUCCUCCAGCUCCUCCUUGCUCACGAGUUUAGCUAACUCAUUGAGGUAAGGGACCAGAGGUUCUGCUCGGCUGUCAGGUAAGCGAGAUCGAGGCCGACAGGAGGAGAAGAGGUAGCGGGAUCUGUGGCUGCUCCACUAGCUUCCCCAACUUUUACAGGAGCAGGAGGUAAAAUAUUCAAGGGUAGGGCCUGCUGCACGAUGUUGGCCCGCUUUGCAGUAGGGGCAUCCUUACUCUCGUCCCUCUUCGUGGUUGGAGGUCGAGAACGUUUUCGGGUCAGAGCCGCCAUCACAGCGUCCUCCAUCCUAUGGCCAGGAAGUAUCAAGCGAGACUCGAGCAAGUUGUAUGUACUUAACAGUUCCCGGCUCGAGCAGGAAUUGGCCAGUACCGCCUCGACCCGUUUGAGCUGGUCAGGUCCGAGCGGGAAGUGGACACCCCAAGAAACUACAACACAAACAAGACACUUGGUUAGAAACAAGCCAAUAAAACAAGAACAAGUAUGGAUACAAGGCAUCUGAAGCAAGCAGGCAACCUGGGACCGUGAAACGGGGUGGGACCCGAUAAUCCCUCCCGUCCAUUUGUGCGACCUGACCCCACGGACCCCCAGCAAAAAAGAACUUUCUCUUCCAAUUCCCGCCACCACCAGUAGGGAGGUCGGUUAUAGGUUUCCUGCUCUUGGUGCUAGAUUGGAAGUAGUACCAGCCGGCAUCUUUGGGGCUGCUCUUUAGCUGGUACAUGUGCUUCACCUCAUCAACCGUGGGCUCGCUUUGGCAACAUCUGUCCCACAAAAUGAACAGACCAGAGAGCACUCUCCACCCAUUGGGAUUCAGCUGACCAGGAGCCAGAUUUAGCCCGUUAAGUAUCCGGGCAAAGUAAGGUUGCAAGGGACACCUCAGCCCGUACUUAAAGCUGUCCAGAUACAGGGUAACAUAUCCCCUAGGAGGGCGGCUGGGAGCAUCCUUCUUUCCUGGGACCUUGAGAAGUAUUUCACCAGGGAUGCUAUACCUCAGCCGGAGGUCCUCGAGCUCAUCAAACGUGGUCGUGCACGUCAUGUAAUCAAUAGCGUAGUCCCGCGAUAGGGCUCUACCUCCUAUUCUACUCCUCCCUUCUAGUCGCGGCGCUCCUGAUGGGGACGCCUCACCAGAAUCAUCCCCUUGACCCUCACUCAAGGUGUUCUCCGAUCCAGAAGAUCCUUCUUCAUCGCUACUGUCGCUCGAGGAGGUUGUUUGGGGAGACAUCCUCCUAGCGCUAGUACCAACACUAGACCUAAUGGGCUCUAAGGGGAUCCCGGGGUCAAAAGCGGGAUCAGCGAGCAGACUAGGUAGGAAGUCCAACUCGUCGUCAUCAACCUCAAUGACCUUCUCUUUGCCUUUCGACAUUCCCUAAACUCUAACCACAACGCCACCAACUACUACCCAAACGAAAGAAAAAAGAAGUUAUCUAUAAACUAUCCGAGACCGAGGAGAGAGAAGUAAUACCUGAAGCACUGCUCCAAUCGGAGAAAGGCAAGGAUGGGGCCUUUGCGCCGGAACUUCUUUGCCGGAGAAACAGAGACGGAGACGGAGUGAAUGGUGAAUAUGCCGUUCGAGAGGAUUCGGCUUUCCAAAUGAGGACGGACUCUUGGGUUGCCAGCAUAUAACUGCGCCGAAUCCCGAGGAAUCUCGUAACCGUCGGUUUGAAAUUCAAAUGGAGGGCGGGAUUUCUGCCACGUCACCUCGUCCGCAAUUAAAUGCGACAUGACUCUUGGCAGCCUUUUCCAAUCCCACGCGAGCGAGUACUAUCGAGUUUCUACUGCUGGUCCACUACAUUACCCAACACCAGAAACUGGGGGACCGAUGUUUGGGAGAGAUACUGUUUGGGAUAAAUACGUCGACGAGACCAGGAAUGACGAGCAGAUAUCUGAUGGCGGAGUUCUGCGAACCGGUGUGUUCCGUAAAAGCCUGGUGCGCGGAAGAACAGGAGCAGAAAUAUCCUGCUCGUCCACGAUGUUGUCAUCCGCGAGGCCAAUUCCCUAUAAAAGGCAUAAGGCCAUUCCGGCUAGAGGUCAAGAGGCGAGGAGACCCGGUCGACGGCAGUUGGCAAGACGUGCUCUCCAGCACGAGAAUCUAGGCACAACAGCCACGCUUUCCCCAGAACCGUGGCGUAACACGCAAGAUCUCACAGAACCAUGACAGCCACGCUUUCCCCAGAACCGUGGCGUAACACGCAAAGUCUCACAGAGCCAUGACAGCCACGCUUUCCCCUGAACCGUGGCGUAACACGCUAGAUCCCACGUUUGCCCAUAACGCAGCAGUUGGAGUCCCAUACCGUCUGGAAAAGGGCGGAAGACUGAGAUUCAGAGGAAGCCUAUAAAAAGGUAGCCAACGAAGGUAAAAGGGUUGGCAUUUUUGAGAUAGAAGAAAAAAACCACGAAAAAGCCAUAAGACCUGUGGCAAGCGUUCCCUGAACCUUCAUAUCUGACUUGAGCGUCGGAGGGUUUGCGCCGGGGGAACAACCGGCGUACUCUGACUUGUCUGUUUGUGCAGGGACAUCCGGAGAAGAAGCAUUACUAGGAGACCUCCUGGUCGUGGUGAAGUUGAUCGAGCAGAGAUCCUGGUCGUGGAACGAGGAGAACCGGAAUCUCGCAUCAACAAGUAAAGUCCUCGUUACUCCAUACACUUUAUUAUAACAUUUGCAUAAAUUGCAUUUAGUAAUGCAUUUAGUAAGUCCCCGUUAAAUGACUGUUAUUGCUUUAAUUUUUUAUAUAAUUUUUUUAAGUGAAAACACUUUUACAACAUGAUUAGAAUUAAAUAUUUUCAUAAAUCCAAAUCUAAUCCACUAGGAAAGAUAAUAACAAUUAAGAAUAUUAAGUUCCAUAAUAUGACUAUAUUUAGAUUUUAUUUUGAUAUUAUGAUUGUUAUAAUUUUGUAAGAUGGAGGUCAGUGUUGGUGAAGUACAAAAGGCUAAUAAUGAAGUGCAAAUGACAGUUGAUUAAUGUUGCUGACCAGUAAGUUUUCUUUAUUUUUUUAAAAAACUAAUAUCUUAUUUAUAUAGAUUGUUUAUUUAAUUAUUUAUUGUUUUAAUUUUUUUUUAUAAAUCCAAAUAUUGAGUUGGAAAAUGCCUAAAGUUAUGUUGAUAUUGAUGAAGAUGAGAGAAUGUUGUUGGCAUUUGUUUGUAAUUUUUUUUUUUUUUUUGUGAAGAUGGGAGAAUGUUGUUGGCGUUUGUUUCUAAAUUUUCUUUUUAUUUUGUGUUGUAAGUUGUAAUUGUUGUUAUUUUUAUUUAUCUUUACAACAUUAUGAUUAUGUUUAUGUAGAUGGAGUUUGGUUAUGUAUUUUGAAAUCUUAAUAUUUCAUAUUUUGUGAGUACCUUAUUAGUAGUUAGUAAGAUAUUAGUGAUAAAAUAUGUUUUGAAUACUUUGUAUUUAUUGUUAAUAUUUGUAAUGAAACUAGGAUGAACAAAUUGUUGAAAAAAAUUAUUAUAUUCAUGAGGCCCAAUGAGCUAAAAAUUUAAAAAUUCAAAAUAGGCCCAAUAGGCUCAGAAUCGAAAAAAUCGAACCGAACCGAAAAGAUCCGUUUGAGUUCGGUUCUUAUUUGGUUCUUUUUAUAAAAUAACCGAUUUAAAUCAGUUCUGCUUAAUUUCGAUCCGAACCGAACCGUGCUCACUUUGGGCCAAUCAAGAAAAUGAUAUAUUUUUUUUAAAUUCACACUUAUCGUUUCUAAUGUUUUUAAAUAUUUUAUCUAACUUAAUUAAAAAAAAUCUAACUGUUGCUAGCUAAAGGUCAAUAGUCACUUGCUUUUGUAUUUAUAAAUUUUAUUAUAGGCCCACUUGUAACAUUUAUAUUUCAAAAUGAAUUCUUAACUUAAAAUUUUAACAUAAAUCUUGAGUUAUCGAUUUCAAGUGAUCUAAUGGUAGAUGAAUAACUAUCAUUAAUAUCUAUCAUUAGAUUACCUAAAACCAAUGACUUAAGAUUUGUAUCAAAAUCUUAAAUCAACAAAUUAAGUUAAAAUAACUCCAUCUAUAUAUAUAAUUAUAUGAAAGAGGUCAUUUCAGCUUAAAUUUUUUACUUAAAAUUUUGACAUAAAUUUUGAGUCAUUGAUUUCAUACAAUCUAAUAUUAUAUAUAGAUAGUCAAAGAAGCAAUUAAUAAUGUUAAUUCAGCCAUUGCAUAAAACCAAUGACUCAAAAUUUAUAUAAAUAAUUUAGAUUGAAAUAACCUAACCAAUAUUAUAUUUCAACAACAUUUAUAUUUAAACAUCCGCGGGACUUUGCUACUAGUAUAGUCUAAAUGCUUGGAGUUUAAAAGAGGCUGAAACUGUCGCCAAACAAUUAGAAAAUUAAUCUCUCAUAUCAAGUAUGCAAGAAACUUAAAUAUGUAGUAGAAAGAAAAAGAAUAUUGAAAUAUUUCAUUAAUUAUACAUUGUCUUCUUAAUAAGAAAAUUACACCUUUAUCUUGAAGACAUGACAAAAUAAAAAUAAAAUAUUAACUUAAUCAUGGAAAACAAAUACAUAAUCUAUUAAAGUAGUUAGCAUACUUCCUUAAUCAUGGAAAACAAAUACAUAAUCAAUUAAAGUAGUUAGUAUACAUCGUUAAUCACGGAAAACAAAUACCUAAUCUAUUAAAGUUGGUACUAAUCACUGUGAAAUAUAUGAGAGAUGAGUGUAUUUAUUUAUUUUUUUUAAUACCAAUAUUGCACGUGCUGACUUCAAUCAAACUUAUAUUAAAAAAAAUAUGAAAUUUUUACCUUUUUAUUAUGAUCUAAGAAACAAGAAUAUAGGAAACAAGUGUCUUUUGUUGUUAUAGAAGUGGUAUAUUAACUUAUUCAACAUAAAUAUAUUAUUCAUUUCAAUCACUUGUAUCCAUUAUAGUCUUGUAUAAUAUAUAGUUCACUUUUGUACUAUAGACAAUGAUAACACGCACAUUUGUUCCCUAAAAUAUAAGAAGGAAAAUGAAAACGAUGGCAUAUGAGCUCUCUUUAUUGAGGAAGUAUUAUAAUUAUGUUAGCAAAUGAUCACUUUUACCAUAAUUUGAAAUCAUUAUUUCGUCUUUAAAUGUGACGUGUGAUAUUAUUUAAGAAAGUUUGCACUACUACGUUACAAUUUCCUAAUCACGACAUUCUCUUUACCCGAGCAUACUAUAUACCAUAAGCAUUUUACAUACUUAGGCAUACUAUUUAAAUGUGUCCAAAUGUAGAAUUUGUUAAUCUUCAUAAUGUGUGUGUGGUCAUAUGCAUUUAUCAAAUAAAAAAAGUAACUUUAAAUGAAUUCUUAGUGUGAUGUUAUACUUAAAAAUUCAUAAUGAACUCUUAAAUUUGAGACUUAGUGACUCAUUAUAUAUAAAUUAUAAAACAACUAAUACGAUAAUAAAUGUUAUCAUUAAAACAUAAAUUAUGACAUUAGAUUUAGAACACAAACUUGAAGAAAAUCUUUAAAUUCAGAUUUGGACUAAUGCAUUCUAAAAUGAAUUUUUUUGAAUUGCCAACAAUUUUUACUUUUUCUUUUUAAAUAUUUUUUAAAGGUGGAAACCUAUGAAGGGUAUUGAAGUCAAUAAAUUACUCCAGUAAAGAUUUAAUACUUCAAGGCUCAAGCCUUGGACUUGGUACACGCGGGGUAAAAAGAGUAAAAGACCGCAAGUUAACGGUCAAAGUCAAAACUUUGUACAACUCCUCUAGCUGCCAUAUAAAGAAGUUGACGCCGUGAAGUACCCGUUAACUAACAAUGCUUGGUCCCAUUAGAUGCCGCGUCACCAUCGCUAGUUAACCUAACCCGAGUUAUAUCAUAACUCAGGGAGUUAUCAUUUCACCUCAAUGGUUCCUUUUACUUUUCUUUAAGUUGCAUCCACUGCCAUAUUUUGUCGUUUUUCGAGAAUCAGCUUUCAUUUUUUCGGGGCUGGCAGGCGCAUUAGCAGACACGUGUACGCUCGUUUCCCUAUCUCGGUAAAAUCCAACGGCUGCUAGUAGAAGAUUCCCUUUAAAACGGACCGGUCACAGCAGCAGGGCGGUUUGGAUUUAACCUUUACCGUACUACGAAUUAGUAACGUGUGGGGCCAACCACACGUGCUGGGACCUACGUGGAUCGUUUACACUGCAAUGGGAAUGAUGGGGCCACGGGGUAAGUUUGAAAACUGAGAAUGCCUCACAUACGGGUGGGAAAAAAAUCUUGGUUUUAAAAAUACCGAAUCGAACCGGCGAUUUUUUUUUAAUUCAGAUCGAUUUUUAUUUUUUUUAAAAACUGAAAUAUAUUAUUUGUAAAAAAAUUUAAAAUGUCGGUUUGGUAUUCGGUUCACUCAGCUGAACCGAAAAACUGAAUUAAUUUUAGAUUUUAUUCAAAUCGACAUGUGUUAAAUUUUUUUUUUAUAGACCCAAAUAUUGAGUUGGAAAAUACCUAAAGUCGAUGUUGAUAUUGAUGAAGAUGGGAGAAUGUUGUUGGCGUUUGUUUGCAAUUUUUUUUUUUUUUGGGUGAAGAUGGGAGAAUGUUGUUGGCGUUUGUUUCUAAAUUUUCUUUUUAUUUUGUGUUGUAAGUUGUAAUUGUUGUUAAUUUUAUUUGUCUUUACAACAUUAUGAUUAUGUUUAUGUAGAUGGAG